AGCGAACGCUGGCGGCAUGCCUAACACAUGCAAGUCGCACGGGGGGGCUUCGGCCUCCCAGUGGCGGACGGGUGAGGAACGCGUAGGGACCUGUCGAGGGGUGGGGGAUAACCGCGGGAAACUGCGGCUAAUACCGCAUGACGCCGCGGCGUGACAGCCGGGGCCAAAGGCGAAAGCCGCCCGCCGAGGGGCCUGCGUCCGAUUAGCUGGUUGGCGGGGUAGCGGCCCACCAAGGCGUCGAUCGGUAGCUGGUCUGAGAGGGUGAUCAGCCACACCGGGACUGAGACACGGCCCGGACUCCCACGGGAGGCAGCAGUGGGGAAUAUUGGACAAUGGGCGCAAGCCUGAUCCAGCAAUGCCGCGUGGGUGAAGAAGGUCUGCGGAUUGUAAAGCCCUUUCGGCGGGGACGAUGGUGACGGUACCCGCAGAAGAAGCCCCGGCUAACUUCGUG
Molecule: ribosomal RNA, 451 nt
Filed under: uncultured bacterium
Lineage: Bacteria
Description: partial 16S ribosomal RNA
Rfam family: Bacterial small subunit ribosomal RNA
Source: RNAcentral